RNAcentral lists this ribosomal RNA (301 nucleotides) under uncultured bacterium. Its description in RNAcentral is "partial 16S ribosomal RNA". It matches the Rfam family "Bacterial small subunit ribosomal RNA", at positions 509 to 807 of the family's 1533-position model. The record is from RNAcentral.
CAGCAGCCGCGGGAAUACGGAGGGGGCUAGCGUUGUUCGGAGUUACUGGGCGUAAAGCGCACGUAGGCGGCUUGGUAAGUUAGAGGUGAAAACCUGGAGCUCAACUCCAGAAUUGCCUUUAAGACUGCCGAGCUAGCAGGUGAGAGAGGUAAGUGGAAUUCCGAGUGUAGAGGUGAAAUUCGUAGAUAUUCGGAAGAACACCAGUGGCGAAGGCGGCUUACUGGCUCAUACUGGACGCUGAGGUGCGAAAGCGUGGGGAGCAAACAGGAUUAGAUACCCCCGUAGUCCCUGUCUCUUAUAC